UUUAUCCAGUCACAGGUGGUGAAGUC
This 26-nucleotide non-coding RNA is filed under the name Rattus norvegicus (Norway rat). Lineage: Eukaryota; Metazoa; Chordata; Mammalia; Rodentia; Muridae. The record is from RNAcentral.